Molecule: ribosomal RNA, 499 nt
Filed under: uncultured bacterium
Lineage: Bacteria
Description: partial 16S ribosomal RNA
Rfam family: Bacterial small subunit ribosomal RNA
Source: RNAcentral
GAUGAACGCUGGCGGCGUGCCUAAUACAUGCAAGUCGAGCGAACAGACGACAGUCCUGGCGCUCUCUGGCGUUAGCGGCGGGCGUGAGAGUAACAUGUGGGUCACCUACCUUUAAGACAGGUAUAACUACGGGAAACCAGAGCUAAUAACGGAUAAUAUUUAGCUUCGCAGGGAGGAAUAGUGAAAGACGGUUCGGCUGUCCCGUAGGGAUGGACCCGCGGUGUAUUGGUGAGGUGGUGAGGUAACGGCUCAUCAAGGCAAGGGUGAAUGGCCGACCUGAGAGGGUGUACCGCCACACUGGGGCUGAGACGCCGCCCAGGCUCCUACGGGAGGCAGCGGUAGGGAAUCGUCGGCAAUGGAGGAAAGUCUGACCGAGCAGUGCCGCGUGAGUGCAGAAGGUUUGCGGAUCGUAAGACUCUGUUGUAAUUGAAGAACGAGUUCGUUAGUAACUGAACGUACCGUGACGGUACCUGAUCAGAAAGCCCCGGCUAACUACGUG